AUAGUCCAGAUUACUCAUGUGUA
This 23-nucleotide non-coding RNA is filed under the name Arabidopsis thaliana (thale cress). Lineage: Eukaryota; Viridiplantae; Streptophyta; Magnoliopsida; Brassicales; Brassicaceae. The record is from RNAcentral.